Long non-coding RNA from Helianthus annuus (common sunflower), 593 nucleotides. RefSeq lists it as uncharacterized. The record is from RefSeq and is a predicted model, not a curated record. NCBI's taxonomy places the organism in Eukaryota, Viridiplantae, Streptophyta, Magnoliopsida, Asterales, Asteraceae. The transcript has 2 exons.
UCUUCUCUCUUCUAUCUAAACCUAAUCCAAGCUUCGGAUUCCUCGCUUCGCACCAACAAUGGUGGCAGGAAAGCAAGGAGAAUUGAUGGUUCAUACAUCACAGGAUUUCAUCAACAACGACCCAAUCAAACAGUUGCAAACCAAGUACAAAGAGUUUGAGAAUGGUUUCAAGGGUUGGCUCGCCAAACAAUCUUUACCCGUUGAAGCCGCUAUCGUCACCCUCACUAGCGCCGCCUAGGGUGCCGCCAUCGGUGGUAUCAUGGGUACUCUCACCACCGACGUCGCCGCCUCCCUUAAUCCACAGGCUAUGGCCUCUUUCCAGCAAGCCCAGGAUUGGUUAUAGCAUAAUCUCAGAUGUUGAGACAAUGGGGCUCAUAACCCGGGAGAGGUUUCUGAUAUAUCCAACACAAUUACCUUUAGGUAAUGUGAACUUACUAGAAUCCAGGUAAGGUAAUGUAUACGCCUGCAUAUUAAGCUUUGUACAUGUUCAAUGGACUUAUAUGCAUACAUGUUUGUAUUGUUAGUCGUUGGAUAACAGAAGUAAGUGGUUUACAAAAUUGUGUUAUUGUUCAUUUUGAACCCAGUUUGCUACA